RNAcentral lists this transfer RNA (76 nucleotides) under Spiroplasma sp. TIUS-1. RNAcentral describes it as "tRNA-Val". It matches the Rfam family "tRNA". Rfam says of the family: Transfer RNA (tRNA) molecules are approximately 80 nucleotides in length. The record is from RNAcentral. Lineage: Bacteria; Bacillati; Mycoplasmatota; Mollicutes; Entomoplasmatales; Spiroplasmataceae.
GGAGCAAUAGCUCAGUUGGGAGAGCGCCUGCCUUACAAGCAGGUGGUCGGGGGUUCAAGUCCCUCUUGCUCCACCA